GUCAACGAUCUUUAUAAAGUUGUUUGAAGCGUCUAUGAUAAACAGAGAGCAAAUUAGAAUGCUGGGAAGUUGACAUGUCGUCACUUCAUUUUUUUGCGCCUGCGCAUAAAUCUGAGAAGCGUGAGUUUGUCAUAAUUGUUUAUCUAGACAUAGGAUAGGUUGUGUGAAAAUAUUACUGAUGUUUAACGUUAAAAAUGGACCAAAAGAUUAAUGCUAAACAACGUUUGACAUGUUUGAACGAACGUAAAUAGAUUAUUUACUAGGUUUUUUAGCUUUUCGGCGUGAUUUUACACCCCCCCCCACCACGUUUUGUGGGAGCAUAAUGAACGCUAACUACUUGGUGUUAUUUGGACAUAAAUUAUGAACUUUGUCAAAAGAAACCACAUUUGUUCUGGACCUGGGAUUCCUGGCAGUGCCUUCUGAUGGAGAUAAUCAAAGACAGCCGUUACAGAAUUACCCACCAACAAAGGACCAAGCAGCGGAAGAAGGCUGGCGAGGUAAGGGAGACCGGGAGGCACCCCCAAUAAAUUUUUAGGGGGGGGGGCACAAGGGGAGUUUUGCGGGACAAGAAUGGAGCCCCAGGC
RNAcentral lists this long non-coding RNA (584 nucleotides) under Salmo salar (Atlantic salmon). RNAcentral's name for it is "lncRNA (ENSSSAG00000094166.1)". The record is from RNAcentral. Lineage: Eukaryota; Metazoa; Chordata; Actinopteri; Salmoniformes; Salmonidae.